RNAcentral lists this ribosomal RNA (439 nucleotides) under uncultured Desulfobulbus sp. RNAcentral's name for it is "bacterial SSU rRNA". It matches the Rfam family "Bacterial small subunit ribosomal RNA", at positions 950 to 1382 of the family's 1533-position model. The record is from RNAcentral. Lineage: Bacteria; Pseudomonadati; Thermodesulfobacteriota; Desulfobulbia; Desulfobulbales; Desulfobulbaceae.
UUCGAUGCAACGCGAAGAACCUUACCUGGUCUUGACAUCCCGGAGACCCUUAGGAAACUAGGGGGUGGCUUCCAUCUGGAAGAAUCUGGAGACAGGUGCUGCAUGGCUGUCGUCAGCUCGUGUCGUGAGAUGUUGGGUUAAGUCCCGCAACGAGCGCAACCCUUGCCUUUAGUUGCCAGCAGUUCGGCUGGGCACUCUAAAGGGACUGCCGGUGUUAAACCGGAGGAAGGUGGGGAUGACGUCAAGUCCUCAUGGCCUUUAUGACCAGGGCUACACACGUACUACAAUGGCCGAUACAAAGGGCAGCGACACUGCGAGGUGAAGCCAAUCCCGUAAAAUCGGUCUCAGUCCGGAUUGGAGUCUGCAACUCGACUCCAUGAAGUUGGAAUCGCUAGUAAUCGUGGAUCAGCAUGCCACGGUGAAUACGUUCCCGGGCCUU